RNAcentral lists this ribosomal RNA (490 nucleotides) under uncultured bacterium. RNAcentral describes it as "bacterial SSU rRNA". It matches the Rfam family "Bacterial small subunit ribosomal RNA", at positions 29 to 524 of the family's 1533-position model. The record is from RNAcentral.
AUUGAACGCUGGCGGCAUGCCUAACACAUGCAAGUCGAACGGGGGCAGCAAUGCCCUAGUGGCGGACGGGUGAGGAAUACGUAGGAACCGGCCCACGAGUGGGGGACAACCUGGGGAAACCCAGGCUAAUACCGCAUACGCUCGCGAGAGGAAAGCGGGGGACCUUCGGGCCUCGCGCUGGUGGACGGGCCUACGUCCGAUUAGCUAGUUGGUGGGGUAAAAGCCUACCAAGGCGACGAUCGGUAGCUGGUCUGAGAGGAUGAUCAGCCACACUGGGACUGAGACACGGCCCAGACUCCUACGGGAGGCAGCAGUGGGGAAUAUUGGACAAUGGGCGCAAGCCUGAUCCAGCAAUGCCGCGUGGGUGAAGAAGGCCUGCGGGUUGUAAAGCCCUUUAAGCGGGGAGGAAAGCCGGGGUGUGAAUAGCGCCUCGGGUGACGUUACCCGCAGAAUAAGCACCGGCUAACUCCGUGCCAGCAGCCGCGGUAAU